UUCAAACCCACAAAUACAAUGGAAGCAGUCAGUUGUGGAAAUAGCCUAAGUUGAUGUUGUGUGGGCAAGGUGAGACAAAUUUUCUUUGCUCAGAAUCAACCCCGUACUUUAUUUUUCUGCCCCUGUAUAUUUCCAGCACAGCAAACGUAACACAUGUUGUCAAUUCCAAACGCUGUGUGUAAAAAUUUGAAAUAGAAUGCUCCCAAUUUCAAUUUAGUUGUGCCCACAAGGUCCCUAAAUUUCAGACUAUUGCACCAUUGCUGAGAGCAUAUGGGACUGGGCAGGUGAAACGCAGUGACCUGGCAAAUAGUCCAAAGACUGAUGAGAGUCGGGUACACGUCAGAAGCCACUGGGUGUGCUGGCACAAACGGUAACCAGAAUGUGGAUCAGACAGACACCCAGCACUCGUUAGCUUAUUACUCUCUUAUUAGGAACAUUUUUGCCUUGCAUGGAUUGGCAGAGUCCUGCUAGCCACCCUCUUCACAUGGCCCAGGCUCUGUCAGAGCUGAUCAAAAGACAUUUCUUCACAUCUCCAGACGCCAGGGAAAAAAGAAGAAGAAAAGAGGGAGAGAAGAAAAGAGCCAGAAGGGGGCAUACUGCUCUCUCUUUACUCUGGUCUUUUGGUGAAUGAGGACAUUUCACAAUACCCUCUCCUUUUUCUUUUUUUAUUUCUUCCACUGCAAAAAAAAAAAAAAAAGGAAAAAAGAAAAGAAAAACAGCACUUCCCAUCGCAUUUGGCCAAAUUGUUCUUGCCAUAUCAAAAACAAUUAUCCUCAGGUGAAGAAUGUGCCUGCAGAAUUACAACCAUUCCAGGGGGAGAAAGAGGUCUUCACAAAUCUGACUGGCUUCCAGGCAGCCAAGACCCCCUCGAAGUGGUAAUGAAAAGUGUAACUUUAGCCUCCCAGCUGUACGUCUCAAUCCAUAAUCCUUCCCCAAAAACCUCACCGUAGAGCCGCCUACCACUCCCAUGGCGUUCCCAGCCUGUGCCGGGCUGGGCCUACACUGAUUUAUGUGGCAGUCCCGUGUCAUACUCUCAACCUGAAAAGGAUUUGCUCUCCUAUAUUUACCAGGGUGGUCAGGGCAGCUCUCUGGAAACACAGAAAGCCCAGUCUCCGGGCCUCACUCCCGCACAGUCGUUUUACCCCUCUGUGCCAAUAACAUGGAGAUUUUGGAGCUCCAGUGUUUCCAAAGUGGGGUGUUUAAGCAGUGCAGAGGUCAGAGUCCAUGUACUCGCGCCAACACAGCCACAUGGCCACGUUUUGGUAUGCAGAUACACAGACACAGGGAGGAGGCUGAAGGAGAUCACAGGGAGGAGCUGUACCAGCUCGAUGUCCUUAACCUGUUCUGAGAAGGGCAACAGAGGGUGGAGGGACUGGAAAGGAAAUGCACCCUUCGACCGAAAUGGAACACCAGGUGGCAGGAAGGGGGCAGGAGGCCUUUGAAGCUGACCCUUGGUCUCUGCGCUGGGAUGGCCUCAACACUCGAUUCAGCCAGAGAUGGCAGGGAGGGGAGCCAGGUGCCCCCAGAGGGCCUUUAGACCACACAGAUCUAUUAUGGUCGAGGCGGAGAGAUUAGGCUGGGGCUCAGCCCCAUUGCUCCCAGUCAUAUCACUGUGAAGACAGCCAGAGUCAAGCAACAACAAGCAGAAACAUACUGAGUAACGUCUCGUAUCAUCAUCAAAACUGUGUGUUUUAGGAAGAUUUUCCACUGUGAAAUUCUGUCAAAUCAGUAUGUAAAACGCUGCACAAUUGGCACGUGUGCACACCUGAUAAAUGGAAUAAAUGUAGAUCAGCAGAAAGCUUUUGGAAAUGACAGAGUAAAUGUUGAAAGCAAUAAAGACAGAAACGAGUUAUUUCAGCAUGUUAAUACAUAUUUAUUUAUUUUUCACUGAAUAUAAACAGAGAUGAAUGAGCUGGGGAAAAAAAUGUACUCUAGAAGGUGUAGGGAAGAAAGGAUCAAUCAAAAUCAGAAAAUAAAAUACACAAGAUUCAAUCAUACUACAUAACAGGAAGAUUGGAGCAUGAUCAAAGAGGUAUACAAACACAACAAUAUCACAAAAGAAGAAAAUUAAAUUUGUGUUUGUGUUUGUGUGCAGGAGUACACAUGUUAUUGUGACAAACUGCUAAGUGAUCCAGUAAACUGCAGGCAUUAUAUUGAAUUUGCCAGAAGGAAAAUAUCAGCAAAUACUCAACAGCAGUUGUGUGAUUUGGGAUACUUUUGCCAUUAAAACACAGAUGUAAAACAUCCAGUGAUAAAGCUGCAGCAGUUUAUUAGGAGAUAAGCUUGCAUGUCUAUGAAUCAGGCAUCCCAUUCAUAGUGUUCAGCUAGGACAACACUAGGAAUGCGCAGGCUGCUUUGUAUUUUGGCCAGCUUUGGAGGAGGUGAGUGCUAUCAGUAUCUACAUGCUCAUCCCUCUGUAUUUCUAUGUUUACUGCACACAACACGCAAGCAAACACACAUUUCCACGCACACUUACACUCACAAACAGAAACUCAAAUCCUGAUCCUCACCCACCCCCCUAUGCUUCCCUCCUCGGGUGAGGAAAUGACACUCAGCGAGGAUGGCUGGGAGAAAUGAAGACAUGUCUGAUUUCCUCAGUAGCCAAUGGUGUUUCUGCUCUCUGUACUCUCUGCCCUCUGAUAGGUCUUUGUAACUCUCUUCAUCUCAAGGCCCAUGUCAUUCCUUCUAAUCUCCUUCCCAAACACAAACGGGCCAAUCCUGAGACACGGCUCAGGGGCUGGGGAGGGAUGACGCAGCUGAGGCAUGGAAAGAGUGAGGGAUGUUGUUCAGGAGGAGAGAAAGGUGCAUCAGAAGCUGAUGGUGGUGUGAGAAGGAGCCAAUGUGUUAUUAUUAAUAAAGCAUUAAAAAAAAAACGCGAGCACAUCAAAGCAUACAGGGGCUGUGCUAUCAUACAUGAAAGUAACGCACUAUGGCUUAAUGUUUCCUAAGGCAUGUUAUGGUGACGUCGCUUUGAUUUGAAAUGCAUUGUGUGGAAAAUGGAUUUACAGGAGUGGAGGGAGAAAGCUUGGUGUGGGUUCAGACCAUAAUUUAAAACCUGACCUCAUAGGCUCUUCAAAGUCUCUGUGAGCGUGGAUAUUUAGGAUGUCCUUACAGUAUGUGUGACAGACCUAAAUCACAGCCUCGCAAACAACAAAUAAACACAUAUAUACAUAAGAGCGGGAUGAGGAGAACACCUGCAAAAACAAAAAAUGAAAAUUUUAAAAAGUCUAAUAUACACACGAUGUUCACUAAAAAUACUUGGAACUAAUUUUUCAAUUUGCUUUAUUCUUUCUUUUUUGAGCAAUUGGUGUCGCACCUGAUUGAACUGUGUUCCUUUGCUGUUCAAGGCCUGCAGGAAGUCAGAGAUUUUUUUUUCCAUUGCUCCACCAUGGCUAGGUAAUUAUCCUAAUCUACCCUCCUCCCGUGUUCCAGCGCCAAUGCCAUACUGGCUCAGACCACCUCUGUGGCUUCAUUAUCGGUGCUAGGACUCACUAAUGGCUUUAGAGCAUCACUGUGCAGGCUGCUAGAGAAGAGAAACCAGGGUAAAGGGGAACGAAGAAGACGCAGGAGGAGGAGAACAGAGAAAAGAGGGAAGGAAAAAAUGAGGUACUGAAGAGCAAGGGUUGCCCUGAAGGUUAACAUCUCAAUCAUGAGGGACAAUGCUCACUAUAGUCCAAAUGCUUCGUCAUCUUAAAGGCAUAUUUUACUGACUGAGGAUGAAGCUAAAGUGCAUAACACCGUUAAAAAAAGAGGAAAUCAGGAGAUCGUCCGUACUCUCCACGCAGAGUGUGGAGAGUACGUGGAAGGUCGCUGUGUCUACGUGUCCAUCUGAUACAAACACCCACCUUGCAUUUUUGAAAGAGCUAAAACCUCAUAACAUACAGAAGGAAUGGGGGUGGGAAUACAGUUUCACGUUUUUGUUUUUUGUUUUUUUCUGACAAAUGACACCCUGACAGUUGGAAAAAAAAAUGUUGGGGUCCCUGAACAGAUUUCUCAGUUAUAAAAAUAAAAUGUGUUGGAUUAGACAAAGACAGACAUCUUACAUUCUACUUUUGAACCCCAAUGAGAGCCACCCCACCCCCACUCCGUCUGUGCCAUGAUUGUUGUUGUUGGUUUUUUUUUCCCUCUCUAGAAAUGUCAUAUAUUAAAGAUUCUAUAUGGCACAAACAGACACUGAUUUCUUCCAUGUGUACACAACAUAUAGGAUGACAGAUUGAGAUGGUGUAAAAUGUCUGCGCAUUACUCUAAAUAGGCACGAAAGCUUUAAGCGUUCUUUAUAUACCCAGUAGGGGGGCCUUUUAGUCCAGUCAAUCUAUUUCAAAAGAGGGCCCAAGAAUUUUCAGUAGUAAGAUUUUUAAAUACUUUUUAUUUUUCCUAAUAACAUUCUGCCACACAUAGUGAAAAUACCUUAAAGUACCUUAGUAAAACUUGUUGUUUUUUUGAGGUCAAAAGCAAGUUCGACAUUUUAGAGUGAUGUGGUAAGGUAACAAAGUAUUUACCUUAGAGGGUCUAUGUACACCGAUCCACUUAUUCAAUAAUAUUUUCAAUAAACAUAUAUUUACAAAUGUUCAACCCUUACAUUUUUGCCAGAUUUUCCUGUUUGUAACACCUUGAUUCUAUUGGUGUACCUGCAUUUAAAAUAGGUAUAAAAUGUCCCUUAUAGCCACUGUGCUAUUUUAGAAAUAUUAAUAAGAAAAAAUUAAUAAAUGCACUUGUAUUGAUUACAUUUAUUAAAUUUCUUUAGUUUUCAAAUGAUUGACACCAACUCACUCUUGCUUUACAAUGGUUUGAAUCACCCUUUCCCACUCCGACACCCUUAGCUCUCAACAGUGGUACAUUAUGCAGGUACAAUGAUUGAGUGGGAAUGUGACCAUCUGUGGUUGGCCACUCACCUCCAAUAAGUUGUUUACCAUAUAACACAAAAUAAAACAUUUAAUAUCAUGUAAAAAUACUGUUUGCUCUGAACUUGAUAUUUAAAGUAAAUUAGAUUAUUAGGGGCUUAUUAUAGGUAAAUUUAAGGAUGCCUGGACCAUAGCAUCUGAGGUAGUGUGUACGCUGAAAAACAAGAAUCCGUUUAAUCAUUUAUGUAUCUAUAACAUUUAUCAACAUGUAUAUCUGAAGUAUCCAAGAACCAUUUAAUAAUUUAUAUACUACGACAACUAUUACCAUGUAUGCCUUAAACAGUAAUAAUACAUUAAAAGUACUAAGCUGAGUCAGUAUUUGUUAACCAAACUGGAGGCUUCCACUGUUGCAGCCAGUAGAGCGGUAUGUUGAGAAAGGUUUUACAUGCCUUUUUCUGCACUUAUCAUUAGACCAUUCAUCCCUUUGUCAUUUUUUUUUUUUUGGGGGGGGGGGUGUUUAAGGAUUGCCUUCCUGCCAUGGAGAAUACAUCAAGUAAGGUGGCUGGCUGCAAAGACCUUCUCUAGGUCUGUCCAUCAUCAUAUUUCGUAAGGAGACAGGUUGUGGGGGAACUAUAGGAUGAAAUUAAUCUGUGUCUAAGGGUUCUAUUUCCCAAGCCUGUAUCCAAGAACCAUUUAAUAAUUUAUAUACUAACGACAACUAUUACCAUGUAUGCCUUAAACAGUAAUAAUACAUUAAAAGUACAUAACUUCAGCUUACAUGAUUAAUACAUCCACUAAUCUUAUGAGGGUCUUUUGAGUGUUAAUCUGGAUCCUAUCUAAAGAAAACAAAAGUUAAUUAAGUGUAAAAAUGAUUUUGUUCUCUUAACUUAAACAUUGCACUCUUCUUUAAGGUUCCCGCUUUAUUUCAUGAGUAAGUAUGCAAAGUGGCGGCAACACAGUGCGUGAUCUGCUUCCAGACAAGGUACAAGUACACCAACCAAAGAAAUCUUAAGGAACAGACAUGACACUGAAAGAAACCUAAGUUGGAGUCUGUAGAAAAAUUCCCCAAGAGCAAAGAUGGUGGUAGAAGUACAACUUCUAGGGGAAAGAGAAAAAAAAACUUAUGGAGGUUAUGGAGAAAGUCAGCAAAAUUUGAGCUUCUUUGGCAGGUUUUAUUCAUGAUUUUAUAUAUGAAGUUUUUAGAAUCUACUGCUGAUUGAAAUUAAAGCGUGGGUUCAAGUAAAGGGCUUGAAAGAAAUACACCCAGCCCUUAACCUUCCCUUCUCUAUACUCUACCCUUGUGCCCUGACAGGUGCUUUGUCCCUGCUCUUGACACUGAGAAUCUUGAAUAGCUGUCCCUUCUAAAAGGAAUUAUUUGAAAAGACAUUUACUUUCCAGAUAAUUAUAAAUUAGGUGUUCACAAGCUAAUGUCUUAAGAUUACAAAUUGGGCCAGAAAAGCAAUAUCAUGCUUACCACUAAUGAUUCUAGGUCUCGAUCUCUAUGUUCCAUAUUUGCUCACUUAUGUUUUUCUUUGGGUUUUUUUUCUUUUUUUGCUCUUUUUUUUCUUUCACGAGACAAAGACCUGUGAGCCAAGAUCAUAACAAUCAUAUUUUAUAGAUGCCUUUAUGCUAUUUACAGAAAAUAUGGAGGUUGGAAAGAUAGUUAUGGUAAAUGGACUGGUUCUUAUAUAGUGGUUUUCUACUCUACCUGAGCACUCAAAGCACUUUAUACAACUUGCCUUAUUUACCCAUUCACACAAGCACUUUUUUCUCUUCUUUUUCUACGUAAGAGCUUUCUAUCUAACACGACACACAUCCGUAAUCCGAUGGGGGUUAGUAUCUCGCCCAAGGAUAUGUGAGAUGUAGACUGGAGAAGCCAGGGAUUGAAGGCUGUAAGCCAAAACAGGUCAGAAAGCAUAUUGUUGUGUUCCUGCACUUUUAUGUAAAGUAACACACAUCACUCUCUAUGGGCAAUUAGAUGAAGUGGAGAUAUUAGAAAUAUUUCAAAUAUUUCAAAUUUAACUUGUUAAAUACCUCUAUUUGACCGAAGUCAGUGAUUAAGCAUUUGAACAAAACUCUCCAGGUUUUGUUUUCCAUACUAAGCUGAGUCAGUAUUUGUUAACCAAACUGGAGGCUUCCACUGUUGCAGCCAGUAGAGCAGUAUGUUGAGAAAGGUUUUACAUGCCUUUUUCUGCACUUAUCAUUAGACCAUUCAUCCCUUUGUCAUUUUGGGGGGGGGUUAAGGAUUGCCAUGGAGAAUACAUCAAGUAAGGUGGCUGGCUGCAAAGACCUUCUCUAGGUCUGUCCAUCAUCAUAUUUUGUAAGGAGACAGGUUGUGGGGGAACUAUAGGAUGAAAUUAAUCUGUAUCUAAGGGUUCUAUUUCCCAAGCCUGUUGCCCACACUGAUGAGCUCUUGAAAACUGGCAAAUUUAGGAGAGAGAAGAAGACAACUUUGCUGAGAAAUUUCUUUGCCAGCUUCCAUUCCCUUUUUAAAUUCCACAGGGACUGAAAGCAUCACGUUGGGCCUCUGAGAGUAAGAGGGCUUCUGUUUUGGCUCUAGUUGGGUUUGAAAGAUCAAAACUGGUUUGUUGAGAAGAUUCAUUAAUUUUCUUCACAUGCGAAUUUCACUGUAUUCUGCCAUGUGUUAUAUUAACAAGGAUCAGGCAAGAUGGGGCACUUGUUAGAUUGUGUGAAACCACAAAACAUAUGAAAUCUCCUGGGCACAGGGUGGUGGAGUAGGCUAUUAGGUAGCAGGCAAGUAGAGUAUUCAUGACUGGCAGAGGGGGAGCAAUAACUCUGACUAUUUAAGAAAGACAUGGCACUUGAAAUCCUGAAAAGGAUAGGAGAAAUACUAUCCUUUAAGCCAGAAAGACCCAAGAUCCAAUCAGCUGAUGAACCAUAAACAACACCAUCCUGUUUCUACUGACAGAUGUACAACUGAAGUUGGCAAUUUUAACAGUGUGGUGGAAAACAUAUCUACCUUUUGUUGUAGUAAAGUAGAUAACAGAAAUCCAGCUAGACAACCAACACUGUCAUCUAAAGCAGGUUAACAAUUAACACGUGUCCUCAAGAAAUGCUUAAAACUGUAAUACAAAAAGAAAAUAAUAAAAAGUACCAAAAACUAGUUUAAGAAUUUAUCUGGAUUCAAAUCUGAAAAGUUAAGUGCACAAAAAGUGAGUUGCAGCUUCUAAGAAAGCAAUUUUGAGGAUGGUGUGUAUAAGAGUGUGUGUUUUUACAUUUAAAGACAUCGCAACUUAUUUUCAUACAUUAAUGUCCUCCAGCACAAUGAACUUGCACCCUAAGCUGCUGUUAAUAAAAAAGCAAUUCAACUGAUAAUUUUAUUAAAUGAAAACAGAAAUGAUUCUUUUUUUACAGAGAGAGUCCCACCUCGUUGCUACAUUAAGGUAAAAAUACUGAAAUGCUUCCAGUAACUAAACUACUUCUUAGGACACCUAUAUUUGGUAAGCAUAUAAGUGGAUAAAUAACGGUGACAGUAAAUGUUCAUGCUUAGGGCUCAAGAGGAUAUUAAUACAUUCUUUCCACCCCAACAUUGUUGUCAGUUGGCACAAGCAGUCAUCAGAA
Long non-coding RNA from Astatotilapia calliptera (eastern happy), 8423 nucleotides. The record is from Ensembl. NCBI's taxonomy places the organism in Eukaryota, Metazoa, Chordata, Actinopteri, Cichliformes, Cichlidae.